RNAcentral lists this ribosomal RNA (789 nucleotides) under bacterium. Its description in RNAcentral is "bacterial SSU rRNA". It matches the Rfam family "Bacterial small subunit ribosomal RNA", at positions 72 to 872 of the family's 1533-position model. The record is from RNAcentral.
UCCGGUGCUUGCGCCGGGGAUUAGUGGCGAACGGGUGAGUAACACGUGAGUAACCUGCCCUUAACUCUGGGAUAAGCCUGGGAAACUGGGUCUAAUACCGGAUAUGACUCCUCAUCGCAUGGUGGGGGGUGGAAAGCUUUUUGUGGUUUUGGAUGGACUCGCGGCCUAUCAGCUUGUUGGUGAGGUAAUGGCUCACCAAGGCGACGACGGGUAGCCGGCCUGAGAGGGUGACCGGCCACACUGGGACUGAGACACGGCCCAGACUCCUACGGGAGGCAGCAGUGGGGAAUAUUGCACAAUGGGCGCAAGCCUGAUGCAGCGACGCCGCGUGAGGGAUGACGGCCUUCGGGUUGUAAACCUCUUUCAGUAGGGAAGAAGCGAAAGUGACGGUACCUGCAGAAGAAGCGCCGGCUAACUACGUGCCAGCAGCCGCGGUAAUACGUAGGGCGCAAGCGUUAUCCGGAAUUAUUGGGCGUAAAGAGCUCGUAGGCGGUUUGUCGCGUCUGCCGUGAAAGUCCGGGGCUCAACUCCGGAUCUGCGGUGGGUACGGGCAGACUAGAGUGAUGUAGGGGAGACUGGAAUUCCUGGUGUAGCGGUGAAAUGCGCAGAUAUCAGGAGGAACACCGAUGGCGAAGGCAGGUCUCUGGGCAUUAACUGACGCUGAGGAGCGAAAGCAUGGGGAGCGAACAGGAUUAGAUACCCUGGUAGUCCAUGCCGUAAACGUUGGGCACUAGGUGUGGGGGACAUUCCACGUUUUCCGCGCCGUAGCUAACGCAUUAAGUGCCCCGC